AGAAAAUUAGUUUAAUUUUAAAACUUUAACUUGUCAAGUUAACUAUAUAUAUAUAUAUAUUUUCUU
RNAcentral lists this transfer RNA (66 nucleotides) under Tessaromerus quadriarticulatus. RNAcentral's name for it is "tRNA-Asp". Lineage: Eukaryota; Metazoa; Arthropoda; Insecta; Hemiptera; Urostylididae. The record is from RNAcentral.